GGAUUGGGUAAGGCUGGUGGUUCUGUUUGUGCUUAAUGGUGUAUAUUCACGUUUGUGUAACGUCUUGUUUUAUUCUCAAGUUUCUUUGGAAUGGUCCCACCAGAAAAAGAACACAAACACUGAACGUUGUGAUAUGUGAAGAGUUAUUAUGUCAUUCUAUAGGAAAUGCUACGUGGUACGGGUUAAAACCCAGAAGGUUGAGUAAUCGAGAUUUCGAAACAAGCGUUGUUCUGCAUACAAGAACGACAGCUUGAGAUAUUUCUGGACGAAAUCUUUUAGAUGUUUUUCGCAAGAACUGAAUUUUGGUGACAGCUUUUUGUAAGGCUGGUGAACACAUCCAAAAUAUUUUAAAAUGACAAAAAAGUUACGUAAGUUCCUCAUUCUGCUAGAUAACGAAAGUUUAUUGUAUUUUCCGGGUUCCUUCCUCUCAGGCCGAGUGUUGGUCGAGCUGGACGACCACACUCAAGUAUCAGGACUUUUUUUUCACAUCUUGGGAGAAGGAGUUGUGCAAUUGUCCAAGAGAGGGCGUUCGGACUUUAGCGAUAAAGAAAAUUACAUAGAUUUUCGUAUGAGACUUUUGGGAGAAGGACAACCCAAAUCAGGUAACAAUCGUGAGAUUGUUUUGCCGCCAGGUGUUCAGUCCUUUCCAUUUAAACUAGGACUUCCAUUAGGAUUACCUUCAACGUUUUUAGGAAAACAUGGCUGGGUGCAGUACUAUUGUAAAGUGGCACUUAAAGAAUCUUCUGGCGUUGUUCACAAAAACCAACAAGUGUUCAUCGUCAUGAACCCCAUAGAUUUGAACUUGGAGCCUUCUCUUCUCAUGCAACCUUUCCACUGUGAAAUUGAAGACACUCUCGGACUCAGCUGUUUCUCGUCCGGUCCUGUCACGUGUAGGGUUCGUUUAGACAGGGGAGGCUACGUACCGGGAGAAAGUAUCUCAAUCUUCGCCAACAUAGAAAACAACAGUAAAGUUACAAUAAGGAAGACAAAAGCAGUACUCACUGAGACGAUACAGUACACUGCAAAAAACAAGUUAGUUCAGGCUGAGACUAGAGAACUGGCUUCUCUUCAGAAGGGAGAGAUUUCUGCUGAUUCUACGGAUCAGUGGAAAAAUGAGCUACUUUAUAUUCCACCUCUUCCACCCACAAACCUGCGUGGUUGUCACCUAAUUCGUGUCCAGUAUGAUGUUUAUUUUUUGAUCUACCCCAAAGGACCAGAGAAAGAAAUUAAACUUCAAUUACCAAUCAUGAUGGCUACCUACCCGAUUAGGAACACAGAUGGCACUCUUCAACGGAAAAAAGGAACCCAUUAUCCAACAGUAUUACCAGUGUUCCGGCCUUGGCUUAGCACGAACACUUUGAAGUAGACAGCUAAGCUAACAGAUGCCGAAGAUAUGAUUCAAGAAAAUGUUUUCUUACAGUAGUGUGGUGCGCCCACGGCACUGAAAGUUGACGUAUACAAUUUUCCCCGUCUAAUGAAAACCUGUUUCCAUGUCAACAUUUUGCUAGAAAACCCAAUGAGUGUAGAGAAUGAUCGAUGAAGAGUCGAUUAGAUGACCAAAUUUGUUAAAAUGAUGUCAGGAAAAACAAAUACUAUCUGGGCGAAGGUGGAGCAAUUAUGAUUAAUUUCCCAAUAUAUAUUGCCUAAUUCUGCUAGUAUCAUCGUUUAAAAGCAAGGAACAAACUUUUUUGCACUUCUCUUUGCAUUAUUGCUCUUUGGAUUAUUUAAACUAUUUCUAUUUCACGGAUGUUUUUGAUACCUGUGUGUAUAACUUUCUAAUUGUUUUGUUGUUCAAAUUGAAGUGGAUGAAACAUAAUGAUUUUGUUGAAACGUCCUUAGUUUUUAACACAUUCCUUUUCGUCGGUGUUGUAAUAAUAAUUGUUUCAAGAGCAAAUACAAAACGGUUCCUGGCAUUGAAGUUGUAGAAAUUAUGUUUAUGCGAUAUGAUUCUAAAAAAAAUUAAUAAAACAGGUUAGAAGAAAUUAUGAUUUCAUAUAUAAUGGAGCUCUAUUUCACUGUAUGACGUCCCCAGCGGUACGUCUGACAGUUUAUAACGCUAAAAACUGGGUUUCGAAACCUGUGGUGGGAACAGCACAGAUAGCCCAUUGUGUAUUCAACGACAAUGGCACUGCAGUCGAUACACCAAAGGAGGUUUCUAUACAGAGUCGGGACAUUGUCAUCAUAAUGACAUAAAGUUGGUCUCGUCAGUCUAAAGUUCAAAAAUAGUCAGAGGACUAAAGCACGUAAGCAAUAAAAAACCCGGAAAACCGUAAACAUUCGAUAAACAUGAGCGUUUUUUACAGUGAUUUAUGUUUACCAUGUGUUAUGUUCACAGAAUGGUAAGCAAAUGCUCUUAUUAGUUUUAUUUUUCAUCAUAAUAUCAAGAUUUUUCCCCCCUUAGAAUAAGACUGAUAAACAGAUAACUAAUCACUUCAAAACGCGUGUAGUUUGAGUGUGUUCUGGUCGCUUAUUUUUCAAAACUAAUUUCUUCUGUACUAAUGCAUUAGAUUUGAGCGCUCGUAAUUGGCUAAGCCUAAUUAAUCCAUUGACUGGUCAAUAUAUAAUUAUUCAGAUGUAAAAUGUAUCAAAUUCUAUUUAUAAAACUAAUUUCCACGUAUACAAAUCGGCCUGACGAACCUUGGUAUUGGACGAAAACCCCCGAUGGC
Molecule: unclassified non-coding RNA, 2666 nt
Filed under: Limulus polyphemus (Atlantic horseshoe crab)
Lineage: Eukaryota; Metazoa; Arthropoda; Merostomata; Xiphosura; Limulidae
Description: arrestin domain-containing protein 17-like, transcript variant X1
Source: RNAcentral